Molecule: ribosomal RNA, 517 nt
Filed under: uncultured bacterium
Lineage: Bacteria
Description: bacterial SSU rRNA
Rfam family: Bacterial small subunit ribosomal RNA
Source: RNAcentral
GAGUUUGAUCCUGGCUCAGGAUGAACGCUGGCGGCGUGCUUAACACAUGCAAGUCGAGCGAAGCGCUUAAGUUUGAUUCUUCGGAUGAAGACUUUUGUGACUGAGCGGCGGACGGGUGAGUAACGCGUGGGUAACCUGCCUCAUACAGGGGGAUAACAGUUAGAAAUGACUGCUAAUACCGCAUAAGACCACGGUACCGCAUGGUACAGUGGUAAAAACUCCGGUGGUAUGAGAUGGACCCGCGUCUGAUUAGGUAGUUGGUGGGGUAACGGCCUACCAAGCCGACGAUCAGUAGCCGACCUGAGAGGGUGACCGGCCACAUUGGGACUGAGACACGGCCCAGACUCCUACGGGAGGCAGCAGUGGGGAAUAUUGCACAAUGGAGGAAACUCUGAUGCAGCGACGCCGCGUGAAGGAUGAAGUAUUUCGGUAUGUAAACUUCUAUCAGCAGGGAAGAAAAUGACGGUACCUGACUAAGAAGCCCCGGCUAACUACGUGCCAGCCGCCGCGGUAAUUC